RNAcentral lists this non-coding RNA (32 nucleotides) under Homo sapiens (human). The record is from RNAcentral. Lineage: Eukaryota; Metazoa; Chordata; Mammalia; Primates; Hominidae.
UGGAUUUAUGCAUUCAACCGUUGAUGGACAUU